Long non-coding RNA from Zalophus californianus (California sea lion), 2409 nucleotides. RefSeq lists it as uncharacterized. NCBI's taxonomy places the organism in Eukaryota, Metazoa, Chordata, Mammalia, Carnivora, Otariidae. The record is from RefSeq and is a predicted model, not a curated record. The transcript has 6 exons.
GACACUAGGGCAAAGGUGAGAGGCAGACAAGUAGAACGGGGACUGGAGCAUGGAAGAGAAGUGAAAGCUAGCGUUCCUGGAGCUCCCUGCCAGGGACGACUGAUCGAAGUGAGGGUGUGGGUGACAGAUCUUCACAGGAGAGUUAAGCUUGCCAUUGAGAAGAAGAGAAAGCAAGGAGAGAGAUGAAAGCAGCCCUGUGUGUCUGGAGAGGUUACCGCCAGGAAAACCCUUCACAAGCUGUCGAGUACUGCAAGGACUCAAGCUGAUGAGAAGCAGAGGAACGAACAGCUGCUGUGGAGAAGGUCAUGGGAGUCCUUUCCUGAACCAAGAUGUUCAUUUGGGAGGUCAGACCCUGAGGCUGGAGGAAGUCAGGGACCAUCAUGACAGGAGGUCAAGCACCCAACACCUGUAAUCACAAUGGUUUCUCCCAAGGAUCUUGAGAGGUCCGAUGGGAACAUAAAAUAUAUUAUUCCAAAAGAGAUCACUCCCCCAACUAAUUCCUUCUGCCACACACGGAGAGAAAGAAAACCACACGCAAGCCAACAGCAUGGAACUUCUCCAGCGAGCCUCUGACCACCAUGUUUGAAGGCCUCACAUAUAGUCGUGGGGAUCACAAUAUUUGCGGAGAUUUCCCAGCAGAAGAAUUGAGAUGGAUGAUAAUAUGGGAGAAAAAUGUUCCACGGUGGCCAGCUUGUGUUCUUCUGGAGAGCUGUUUGCACACACAUCUAGAGGCCGCCGAGAGCCCCAGUUGGCUCACACAGUGGGUGGGGAGGUCACGCUGCUCCCUGGGAGCCAGGAUGGAGUGACCUCUGUCUUUUGAUCCCUGCCCCCGCCCCCGGGAGGAUGCGACUUAUGCUGGCUCAUGUCCUGCCACAGGCUGUCACCUCAGAUGGCCUCACUGAGGCCUGCUGGAGUUACUGGCAAGUUUGCAUCAGCCUGGUUCCACAAUGCCCUCGUGUGUCUCCCCUCGGGGGGUACGAACUCUGACACUGCCACCACGGGGCUGUGGAAACUACUGGGAAAAGUGUAGUAGAGAUAUCUCUUUUUUUUUUUUACAUGACACUUUUUUGACCUCGCUCACAAAGUCUCUCCUCAAUGAAAAAGCAAGAGGGCCUGAGUAUGGGAAGAAAAGUCUAAAACACUAGUGUCUCCAGGGGAAUGUUCCUCCAGAGGAAUUCAAGAUUACAGUGGGACUCAUGCUCCCUGGGAGCAGUUUCUUUUCUAAUAAUGAACCUAUAGAAUCACAAAAUCAGACCGUAUGUAAGCAUUUUGCAUGUAUUCAUCAUCACUCCUAGGUGUUACAAAUAUAUUAUGUUUACAUCUAAGGUAUUACAACCAAAUGAUGAGAGCCUUUACUUCUGUGUGCUUCUUAUUCUUCCACACCAGAGUCCCUCCUGCCUGACGUGUGGAAGGAUAAUGGACAUGCUGGUCCGACGUGAAAGGAAACUGUGGUCCAGACUUCAGGAAAAAGAUAUAGUAACGGAAAUUUGCAUACAGGAAGUUUAUUGUAAAGUGGUCUCAGGAAUAAAAAUUGUGAGGAGUUAAGGAAGCAGGAUUGGGCAAGAGAAGUUGAACCAUGGGGAAAUUACAAGAAAGUCUUCAGCAGAUCCCAUCGAAGCUCGGGAGCUUGGAUAAUCCUUCAGCAUUGUCCCAAAUUCAGGCCAAGAUAAUGAGAAGACAAGCCAUAGACUGAGAAAGAUAUUCGCAAGAGAUAAAGGACUGUUAUCUAAAACAGACAAAGGACUUAAAAAAAAACUCAACUGUAAUACAAGACUUUUCUUCGCUGUUUCUUUCCCAGCUUCUCUCUGGUCAACCAGCUGCGAACGUUUUAGCUUGUAUCUCCCAAGAAGCUAUAUUAGAGCCUUCUCUGAAUUUUUUACCACCAAAACUCCACUGUUUUGAGAAUGCCCUUAGACUUGAACUUCCCCACACUCUCUCUCUAAUAAAGUUAGUUGCUCUGGGGAGAGCUUUAGCACUCUCUGUUCAAAGUCCUGUCUGUACCCCUAGCCAAAAUAUCUGAGCCAGAGCCCUGAAGCUGGGGGCAGGGACAGUGGCCUGCUUCUUUUGGAGUGACACCACACUUCACGAGCAGGGCACUGCGUGUGGGCAGUAGCCUCUGCUCUUCUCAGCUUGUUUCUCUCACGAUGGAGCCUCCAUCCUACAAACGAGCUGGGUUGAGAAAAAUCAUGACGCCGGUAUUCCCAGCAUGCCAUCCCUAAGGUCAAGCAUCUGCCCUAUGGAUGGGGGCUAGGUGGGCUACACUUACCUGGAAUUUAGCCUCUGCAGCAUGUAGCUGACAAGAUGAGAUAUUCUCAUGGCCGGUUCCUCCCAGGGAGAUAACACAGUCCUCAACUGAAAGCUGGGAAAGAGGGAGCGGAGUUUCCGUCACACUGAGCUGGGAGCAGGGAG